CACACCUAUGAGACUAGUCCGGCUCGUUUAACGAAUUCGCCCUUGACUACUGGGGUAUCUAAUCCCAUUUGCUACCCUAGCUUUCGUCUCUCAGUGUCAGCAAUGGUCCAGUAAAGCGCUUUCGCCACAGGUGUUCUUCCCAAUAUCUACGCAUUUCACCGCUACACUGGGAAUUCCCUUUACCCCUACCAUGCUCUAGCUUGUCAGUUUCCACUGCUUUUCUGAGGUUAAGCCUCAGUCUUUAACAGCAGACUUAAAAAGCCACCUACAGACGCUUUACGCCCAGUGAUUCCGGAUAACGCUUGCAUCCUCCGUAUUACCGCGGCUGCUGGCACGGAGUUAGCCGAUGCUUAUUCUUCAGGUACCGUCAAAUUUCUUCCCUGAAAAAAGAGGUUUACGACCCUCAGGCUUUUAUCCCUCACGCGGUAUUGCUCUGUCAGGCUUUCGCCCAUUGCAGAAGAUUCCCCACUGCUGCCUCCCGUAGGAGUCUGGGCCGUGUCUCAGUCCCAGUGUGGCUGAUCGUCCUCUCAAACCAGCUACUGAUCGUUGCCUUGGUAGUCUUUUAUCCUACCAACUAGCUAAUCAGCCGCGAGCUCUUCCUUAGGCAGAAAUCUUUUUCACCUCUCGGCAUAUGGGGUCUUAGCAGCCGUUUCCAGCUGUUAUUCCCCUCCUAAGGGUAGAUUCUCACGCGUUAUCCACCCCGUCCGAAGGGCGAAUUCGCGGCCGCUAAAUUCAAUUCGCCCUAAUGGGUCGUAAUUAAAAAAAACCCCA
RNAcentral lists this ribosomal RNA (771 nucleotides) under uncultured phototrophic eukaryote. RNAcentral describes it as "partial 16S ribosomal RNA". The record is from RNAcentral.